RNAcentral lists this ribosomal RNA (465 nucleotides) under uncultured bacterium. RNAcentral's name for it is "partial 16S ribosomal RNA". It matches the Rfam family "Bacterial small subunit ribosomal RNA", at positions 338 to 795 of the family's 1533-position model. The record is from RNAcentral.
CCUACGGGAGGCUGCAGUGGGGAAUAUUGCACAAUGGGGGAAACCCUGAUGCAGCGACGCCGCGUGAGUGAAGAAGUAAUUCGUUAUGUAAAGCGCUGGUGGUAGUGAAGAAAGAUAGAGGUAGUAACUGGCCUUUAUUUGACGGUAAUUACUUAGAAAGUCACGGCUAACUACGUGCCAGCAGCCGCGGUAAUAGGUAGGUGGCAAGCGUUGGACGGAUUUAUUGGGCGGAAAGCGAGUGCAGGCGGUUCAAUAAGUGUGAUGUGAAAGCCUUCGGCCCAACCGGAGAAUUGAAUCAGAAACUGUGGAACUGGAGUGCAGAAGAGGAGAGUGGAACUCCAUGUGUAGCGGUGGAAUGCGUAGAUAUAUGGAAGAACACCAGUGGCGAAGGCGGCUCUCUGGUCUGCAACUGACGCUGAGGCUCGAAAGCAUGGGUAGCGAACAGGAUUAGAUACCCUGGUAGUC